Felis catus (domestic cat) is the source of this 85-nucleotide non-coding RNA. The record is from Rfam. NCBI's taxonomy places the organism in Eukaryota, Metazoa, Chordata, Mammalia, Carnivora, Felidae.
GCCUGAGUGGCUCAGUCGGUUGGGCGUCUGACUUCAGCUCAGGUCAUGAUCUCGUGGUUUAUGGGUUCGAGCCCCAUGUCGGUCU